Molecule: ribosomal RNA, 772 nt
Filed under: uncultured Neocallimastigales
Lineage: Eukaryota; Fungi; Neocallimastigomycota; Neocallimastigomycetes; Neocallimastigales
Description: partial large subunit ribosomal RNA
Rfam family: Eukaryotic large subunit ribosomal RNA
Source: RNAcentral
UCAGACGAUGCGUCAUGCAUAUCAAUAAGCGGAGGAAAAGAAACUAACAAGGAUUCCCCUAGUAACGGCGAGUGAAGCGGGAAGAGCUCAAAUUUGAAAUCUUGAAAGGUCACCUUUCACGAAUUGUAGUUUAAAGAAGUGUUUUCUGUUACGAUCGUAAUAUAAGUUCUUUGGAAUAGGACAUCACAGAGGGUGAGAAUCCCGUCUAUGAUUGCGAUUUGUAGCUUUGUGAUACACUUUCAAAGAGUCGGGUUGUUUGGGAAUGCAGCCCAAAACGGGAGGUAAAUUUCUUCUAAGGCUAAAUAUUGGUGAGAGACCGAUAGCGAACAAGCUACCGUGAGGGAAAGAUGAAAAGAACUUUGAAAAGAGAGUUAAAUAGUACGUGAAAUUGUCAAAAGGGAAGCGUUUAACACCAGUGUUGUUUUCUGAAAAUCAACCUCUGUUAGCUUUAUGCAUGUUUGUUUAGACCUAAUCAGCUAUCUUGCAUGUUCUAUUGUUUGCAGUGGUGCACUUUUCAGUUUACAGGUCAACAUCAGUUUUUUUUACCGUAAAAAAGUUAAAGAAAGGUAGCUCAUGGCUCCGGUCGUGAGUGUUAUAGUCUUUUUCCUAUGCGGUAGGAGAGACUGAGGUCUGCAGUGUAGGCUAUUUGGCUAGAUACUCAGGUGCUAUGUGAUACCAUUUCAUAAACAACUUGUUGAUUAUGUUUUGUCUAUUGCAUACUCGCUUGUACUAUCAUACCUACGCUUAGGAUGUUGACUGAUAUGUAGUCGUA